Molecule: non-coding RNA, 1002 nt
Organism: Pelodiscus sinensis (Chinese soft-shelled turtle)
Lineage: Eukaryota; Metazoa; Chordata; Testudines; Trionychidae
Source: RefSeq, a predicted model, not a curated record
GGCCCGAGGAGGAGGAGGAUCCUAGGACCCAGAUACCGGUGCGGACUGAGGGACUGAUGGGAACCGGACCGCAUAAGACAUCAAAAGGAUGCGAAUGGAGCAAAGUGCAUGCUGUGCAUGCGCGGUCCAGCAGGUCACUGCGCAAGAGAACUCCAAUCUGAGGCACUGGGAUGACCCAACACCUACAAUGGAGCAUCCAUGGAGGGACACAUCUUGAAGAACCUUCGUUACUGCACCAAGGUAAUACUGAGAAGAAGAAUGAGUAUAAAUGCAGAGAAAAGAAGAGAAUGUUGAAAAAUGAAAUGGCAAGUAUACUGUAAAACUAAAGAAAAAGUUCAAAUUAUGUUUUUAUUACUACAAUCUGUGUGUGUGUGUGAUGUUAGUAUGUAUGUGUAUUGUCAGUCACCCAUUCAGAUAAUAGACAUCUUUCCUCUGCUUUCUGUCUUACAUUUUUCAUCCAGUUAGCAGUGGGACACUCUAGUUCUAUCUCCUUUUUCAGCUCAUUCUAAUGACUCCCAAGUUGUCUCUAGUUGCUUCUCCACAAAGAAACUAUUGCUUUUGAGGUACCAUUUCUUUCAACCCUUAGUGUAAUAUAAAAUCUAUUUUUACAUUGCUUUUCUGUGGCUAUUGGGAAUAGCUGUAGUCAGCCAUUGGAGGUGAGUGUUACAGGUUAUUUUGUGCAUAUGUAGUCAACCUCAUCUCACCUGCAAAAUAUACACAUGCAGAAAAGCAUAUUCUAACUAGCAGAAGAACUAUAGUGAGUAGAGAAUGAAAGGAAAUGUGUCCUCAACUGCUGAUUCCUGUAUCCAGCAGGAGCCUUUCUUACCCUAGUAGCCAUAAUUUGGGUCAGUCUGGAUUACCAGCCCCAAGUAUUCAGCUAUCAUGAGUCAAACCUCCUUUACUUCCAAAAUUAUAUUUUUAAAAUGUAGUAAAUUAAUCAUUUUGUCUGUUCUGCUUUUUAGCCCUUACAGGAGAACUAUCACCCACAAUUUUAUGUAUAAU